RNAcentral lists this unclassified non-coding RNA (391 nucleotides) under soil metagenome. RNAcentral's name for it is "partial contains 5.8S ribosomal RNA, internal transcribed spacer 2, and large subunit ribosomal RNA". The stretch from base 3 to 122 matches the Rfam family "5.8S ribosomal RNA", at positions 37 to 154 of the family's 154-position model. The record is from RNAcentral.
GGUGAAGAACGUAGCGAAAUGCGAUACUUGGUGUGAAUUGCAGAAUCCCGUGAACCAUCGAGUCUUUGAACGCAAGUUGCGCCCGAAGCCAUUAGGCCGAGGGCACGCCUGCCUGGGCGUCACACGUCGUUGCCCCCCCAUCUACUCCUUCGGGAUUGCGGGGGGCGGAUGAUGGCCUCCCGUGCGCCUCGCCGCGCGGUUGGCAUAAAUGCCAAGUCCUCGGCGACGCACGCCACGACAAUCGGUGGUUGCGAAACCUCGGUUGCCCGUCGUGUGCGGUCGUCGCGCAUCGAGGGCUCGAAAAAAUUGCCGGGUUCCGGCUCGGCUUUCAACGCGACCCCAGGUCAGGCGGGGUUACCCGCUGAAUUUAAGCAUAUCAAUAAGCGGAGGA